AUGGUGAGGUAACGGCUCACCAUAGCAAUGAUGUCUAGGGGUUUUGAGAGGAAGGCCCCCCACACUGGGACUGAGACACGGCCCAGACUCCUACGGGAGGCAGCAGUGAGGAAUAUUGGACAAUGGAUGGAAAUCUGAUCCAGCCAUGCCGCGUGCAGGAAGACGGCCUUAUGGGUUGUAAACUGCUUUUAUACGGGAGCAAUAAGGGUUACGAGUAAUCCGAUGAGAGUACUGUAUGAAUAAGGAUCGGCUAACUCCGUGCCAGCAGCCGCGGUAAUACGGAGGAUCCGAGCGUUAUCCGGAAUUAUUGGGUUUAAAGGGUGCGUAGGCGGCCAUUUAAGUCAGCGGUGAAAUUUUGCAGCUUAACUGUAACAGUGCCGUUGAUACUGUUUGGUUAGGAUUUGGUUGUAGUGUGCGGAAUGUGUGGUGUAGCGGUGAAAUGCUUAGAUAUCACACAGAACACCGAUUGCGAAGGCAGCACACUAAGUCAUUAUUGACGCUGAGGCACGAAAGUGUGGGGAUCAAACAGGAUUAGAUACCCGGGUAGUCCACACUGUAAACGAUGAUAACUCGCUGUCGGCGAUACACAGUCGGU
This 595-nucleotide ribosomal RNA is filed under the name uncultured bacterium. Its description in RNAcentral is "bacterial SSU rRNA". It matches the Rfam family "Bacterial small subunit ribosomal RNA", at positions 249 to 844 of the family's 1533-position model. The record is from RNAcentral.